GGCCCUGAGAGGACAAACCUCUGAAAAGUGAUGUCACCCGUGAACCUAUAAGCCAAGAACAAGAGUGAUAAUAAUGCAAAUGGUGAUGAUGACAGUUUCCAUUGUGAGCCACCUACUGGGUGCCAGUUCACAUGGAUCCUGAAGUCACAAGAUUUUCUGCUAAAGCUGCACUUGAAAUCUUUAGUCCUAAUAAAAUUUGGAGUCGGUGAGGUGAAAUUCUCAGUGGAGAGAGAGACCUGGUUAUUUUGCUGAUCAUGCAGGUGCUGUUGCUGUGUUGACUUUCCUGCUGAGUACAAGAAUAAAAGUGUUACAAGACCCUGGCUGAAACCCAUGGUUGUGAAAUCAGAAUACAGGACAUAAUGGAGCCAAAGUCAUG
Molecule: long non-coding RNA, 376 nt
Filed under: Heterocephalus glaber (naked mole-rat)
Lineage: Eukaryota; Metazoa; Chordata; Mammalia; Rodentia; Bathyergidae
Description: lncRNA (ENSHGLG00100040204.1)
Source: RNAcentral